Non-coding RNA from Electrophorus electricus (electric eel), 1060 nucleotides. The record is from RefSeq and is a predicted model, not a curated record. NCBI's taxonomy places the organism in Eukaryota, Metazoa, Chordata, Actinopteri, Gymnotiformes, Gymnotidae.
AACAACAGGAAACGCCUUGGAUGUGCAUAUGUGGGAUUGUGCAAGAAGACAUGUGUACGUGACAGUUAGACAGAGGCGAAGGCUGAAAUGGAAAAGCACUAAGCAGAAGUGGUGCUGGGCGAGAGAAACUAUAAGUAUGUGUGUCGCGAAGUUAUGUUUUGGCUCUCACUCGCACUGCGCUGUGAAGUGACAUCUCCAGAGCUUUGCAUCAAUAAAAGGCUACAAGGUAAUGCACUGUUUCCUGUCUCUUCUUUCCUGCAUCAACGAAUAUGACAAUUUGGUGACCCCGACGUGAUGAAAGGAAAGAAUCAUUCGGGCAGCUGAUCAUGCAGUGGACUCAAUUGUUACUUCGGCCGAACAACAAUAAGACAGGUCGAGGAUUUCCAGGACCCCAGCGACUGCUGUAUCAUUUCAGCUUUCUCUACGCAGGUGGGAGACCGGACGGGGAGCAGACAAACCCAGACGAUACCUGUUACCGAGUGGGUGCUGUUGAGAGUCAUCUAAAGAAAGUGGACUGAGCCGAGGUGGACAAGUCCAUUUCAGGUGACAGAGAGAACCAGCCACAGCGUACGCCUGAAGGGAAAAGGGGAGACAUGGUUCCAUCUGAACCAGUGCGCCACCGCAGAGCCACCACAGAGGAGUCUGCAGGAGACAGCGAGGGAUCUCACUGAAGCAUCAUUCAGCUCACCUGAACCAGGCGGAUCAGGUGCUCACUCCCACACAGAGGAGGCAGAAUAAUCUCUGGGAACAAAAGGGUCAAGGUAGUCCAUCCUUACACCCCAAAGUAAGAAGACAGGAGAUUCCGGAACAAAGGACUGUGAUUGGUGAUCUCUUUGAAGAGAUCAAAAGGGGGAAUUGUGGGAUUGCAUAAACUGAGUGAAUGGUAAGAUUAUAUAAAUAGAGAAUAAUCUAUAAAAUGGAAUAGGAUUAAUGCUUGAAUUAACAAAAUAAUUGCUGUAUGCGCAGACAUGAUUACUGAAUCACAGGAAACGCCUUGGAUGUGCAUAUGUGCGAUUGUGCAAGAAGACAUGUGUACGUGACAGUUAGAUGGAGGCGAGGG